Molecule: ribosomal RNA, 354 nt
Filed under: Staphylococcus aureus
Lineage: Bacteria; Bacillati; Bacillota; Bacilli; Caryophanales; Staphylococcaceae
Description: bacterial SSU rRNA
Rfam family: Bacterial small subunit ribosomal RNA
Source: RNAcentral
UUUUAUGGAGAGUUUGAUCCUGGCUCAGGAUGAACGCUGGCGGCGUGCCUAAUACAUGCAAGUCGAGCGAACGGACGAGAAGCUUGCUUCUCUGAUGUUAGCGGCGGACGGGUGAGUAACACGUGGAUAACCUACCUAUAAGACUGGGAUAACUUCGGGAAACCGGAGCUAAUACCGGAUAAUAUUUUGAACCGCAUGGUUCAAAAGUGAAAGACGGUCUUGCUGUCACUUAUAGAUGGAUCCGCGCUGCAUUAGCUAGUUGGUAAGGUAACGGCUUACCAAGGCAACGAUGCAUAGCCGACCUGAGAGGGUGAUCGGCCACACUGGAACUGAGACACGGUCCAGACUCCUACG